This 440-nucleotide ribosomal RNA is filed under the name uncultured bacterium. Its description in RNAcentral is "partial 16S ribosomal RNA". It matches the Rfam family "Bacterial small subunit ribosomal RNA", at positions 338 to 795 of the family's 1533-position model. The record is from RNAcentral.
CCUACGGGUGGCAGCAGUGGGGAAUAUUGGACAAUGGGCGAAAGCCUGAUCCAGCAAUGCCGCGUGAGUGAUGAAGGCCUUAGGGUUGUAAAGCUCUUUUACCAGGGAUGAUAAUGACAGUACCUGGAGAAUAAGCUCCGGCUAACUCCGUGCCAGCAGCCGCGGUAAUACGGAGGGAGCUAGCGUUGUUCGGAAUUACUGGGCGUAAAGCGCACGUAGGCGGUUUUUCAAGUCAGGGGUGAAAGCCCGGAGCUCAACUCCGGAAUUGCCCUUGAAACUGGAUGACUAGAAUCUUGGAGAGGUCAGUGGAAUUCCGAGUGUAGAGGUGAAAUUCGUAGAUAUUCGGAAGAACACCAAUGGCGAAGGCAGUUACCUGGCUCAAUACUGACGCUAAAGCACGAAAGUGUGGGGAGCAAACAGGAUUAGAUACCCUGGUAGUC